AUUAAUUUUAGAUUUUAUCUAUGCACUCAAUAUCAAAUAUUGAGAUUUUAUAUUUUAAAAUUAAAACGUUUAACUAUAAUAAUAAAUUAUUUCGCCUUUUACAUCGUAUUGGUCUUUUAAAUUCUAACUCUACGGUGGACUUUUUUUCUAUCUCUCUGCCUUUUUCAAUACUUUCCAAACUGGGUCAUGAACACUGCAACUCUAUGCCAGCCUAUACCAUUUUUGCUUAGUGGUUCCAAUAGGGAUUCCACAUAUGGCUGCAGCUAUACAUCAUUGCUUACCUCCACACCUCCACUGCAUUACAAUAAAUUGCAUGAUAAUAUAUUUUAUCUGACAUGAUAAGUUUAAAUAUUCAUUUAAUUUUGCUUGUUAAUGCUCAAUAUCAAGGAUUAACAUAGGAAACAAACAUUCUGAUAAUAUAAACUAUGGGAGGGCCUUGUCUCACCUCAAGCUUAUUAAAGAUCCCAUCUCUUUGGGAUGUGGAAAGAUGGGAUUUUUGCUUUGUGAUUGAUCAAUGCUCCACUGCUCUACCCAUUUUAUCGUACGAUUAGAUUGUGAUUACUAAUAAUAGCAAGAGAAUUAUCAUAUCUUGAUGAUUUUGCCCUAUGAUAACAUUCCAGAAUUACUAAGAGUCCUAGUGAUUGAGCUAACUUUUUAUGGCCUUGUUUGGGAUUAUGAAAUCUAAAGUGGAAAAUCCUUCUUUUCUAUCUUAUUUUAUUUUCUCGAAUCUUGCCGUAUGUACUGGUGGUUGGUCAAAAGCAGACUGCCCAUAGUGAUGAACUUCAUAAGCAUUACAGAAAUGAUUAAGAAAAUACAAGAGCAUUAGAGUCACUGUCUUGCUCAAGUUGGUCUGUUAUACAUUAUUGCUUCUUCUAAUAAAAAUGUUGAUCUAGCUCUCUAAGGAGUGAUACCUGGAAUUAAUCCAUAGCUGCAUCUGUCGUAAAGAUUGCAAAAAUGGGAUAUCCCUGUUUAUCAAAAUUCGGAAGAUUCUCCAUGGACAUUGGAAUUAACAGAUGCAAUAGCUUUCCCAGAAAUAAUGCCUGUGAUCGGAUCAAGUCCUUUAUUGAUAAGAUAAGUUGUUUAUAUGAUAUACUUUUUCUUCUCCACUAGAGGUGCCUUGAGAAAUUGACCACCCAUUAACUUGAAAUGUCAUUGUUAGCAGCCAAUCUGAAUUGAAAAUGGCUCAAAAAUUGCCAAGUUAUUGCUGUGCUUUGUUCUAUGAUGAUAAUAAGAGUACUCAAAACAGUUAAUGAUCCAAUCUCUAUCUCUAUUCUCAAGAAGCUUGGCUGACGAAUCCACCACGUCCCAUCCCAUUAAAGUUUUUAGAAAUUUCUUAAGAUAAGAUUACUUACAUAAGUUUCUGCUGGAGAGUCUUCCAUAUUGAAUGGUUAGGAACCCUAGUUUAUGUGAGGAAAUUUUAUCAAUGAAGAACAAGUGUAUGGUGAUUUUAGAAACAUUUUCUUGGUUAUAAUGGCUUUGAUAUAAUGUCACAAAAACCACUUUCUUCCUAUUGUUGUUUCUUGAUGACAUAGGCAA
This 1536-nucleotide unclassified non-coding RNA is filed under the name Hevea brasiliensis (rubber tree). Lineage: Eukaryota; Viridiplantae; Streptophyta; Magnoliopsida; Malpighiales; Euphorbiaceae. The record is from RNAcentral.